Molecule: microRNA, 22 nt
Filed under: Danio rerio (zebrafish)
Lineage: Eukaryota; Metazoa; Chordata; Actinopteri; Cypriniformes; Danionidae
Also listed under: 1 other name
Description: Dre-Mir-30-P1a_3p* (star (passenger))
Source: RNAcentral
CUUUCAGUUGGAUGUUUGCUGU